GAACAACAACAACAACAACAACCGUUGAGCCAGGUCUCCUUCCAGCAGCCUCAGCAACAAUAUCCAUCAGGCCAGGGCUCCUUCCAGCCAUCUCAGCAAAACCCACAGGCCCAGGGCUCUUUCCAGCCUCAACAACUGCCCCAGUUUGAGGAAAUAAGGAACCUAGCGCUACAGACGCUACUUGCAAUGUGCGAUGUCUAUAUCCCUCCAUAUUGCACCAUUGCUCCAUUUGGCAUCUUUGGUACUAACUGAGAAGAGAAGAACUCUAGUAGUAGAUAUAUGAUACACCGUUUUCUUAGUCCAUGGUUUGGUCGUUGUAGCGGUGAAAAAAUAAAGUGACAUGCACUAUCAUGUAAGAACCCGAACUAUACUAGUUCAAACUUGGGAAUAAAAGACAAACACAGGUCUUGUCUACAUAUGAUUGUUUGUUUGAGUUCCACUCAUGUGCCCAUUCACAAGUUCACCCCUAAUUAUAUAUAUUAUGCAUUAAGUAGAUAUUUAUGUUGCAUUAAUCUAAAGAUAACAAAAUGAGUCUGAAAUUUGAAUUAAAUUGAAGUAUUUCCUUGGACUUUCAAAUGGAGUAUUAUUAAAGUAGUAAGGACUAUCCUCAUCCUUGGCUUGCCCUUGAUCAAUUAUUUCCAGAGAAGCAUUCAAUUCGUCAAUCAAUUACAUUGAUUUUUGCAGCCGGUACUUCUCCUCAACAUGAGUAUAUUCAUCGCGGCUACUCCAAAUCGGCAUGAAUGAGGUACCGGUGCUCUGGAGCACUAGUACCUAACAGCUUCUCAUGUGAAGGGGUGCGGGCACGGGAGAGGUGUUUUUGGUGGGCCAGGGGAGUAAGAAGCGGCCGUGGCAGCGGUGCAGACACCCACAAAGCCCCGUAGUUUGUUUUUCGUUUACAGGAAAAUGCACAUCCAGACCGGCCUGCGGGCCGAUAUAGGACCGUAUUGGAUGGCAAAACAUGUCCGGAUGGUUGCGAGCGGUUUGAGGGUUAGCUUUUGUAACGCCCGGUUAGUUAUGCUAUUGUAAUUCCCUGCUAAUGAUGUCACGUAACCACGAUUACUAUUGUUAACCUCACAAUGAUUCAAUCCCAUUCAAAUUCAAAUUUAAAAUAAAGGCAAACAUCAAAAUUUCCAAACAUUAAAACUUAAAUCUUCGAGAGGUGGAAAAUAAUGCAUAAGUAAUUAUGGUGGAGAAACCACACUUUUAUAAAAUGUUUAAAUACUGUAAAAGAAUAAACAGUGGCUUAAACUAUUAUUUAAAUCCUUUUAAAAUAGUAAAAAUGUUCUAACUAAAUUAAUUGGGUACCAAACUUUUGGUGGCAGUGGUAUAUUUAGUAGAACUAAUUUAGAUGCUAAUUAUAUAAUUUACAAAAUUAAAGUAAAUUGAAAAAUAGGAUAAAACAUAAAAGGAAAGACAAAAUAAAUAAAAGCAAAAGGGGGCAACCCCUCGCUGGGCCUCGGCCUAACUGGCCACUGGGCUAGCUAGGCCGGCCCAGCCGCCUCCCUUAACCCCCCACUCCCCAUCGAACCCUGGCCCGAUCGCCCCACUUCCCCCACACCCCGUCGUCAGCCUCCCCACCUGUCGAUCCCAUCUGGAUCGGGGAGGGGAUCGCCCCCAUCAACCCCGUCGCCGUCUCCGGAUCGCCCGCUCGCCCAUCGCCCGCCGGAGUCGCCGGGCCUCCUCCCUGCCGCCCGUCUCCGGCUCGCCUCCUCUCUCGCUCCUCUUCCCUGACCCAAUCUGGAUCGGGAAGGGGCAAUGCGCCCGACGCCCCCCUUCACCGACGCCGUGCGCCAACACCGCCGCCCGAAGACCUCGCCGUCACCGGACCUCGCGUCGCCUCCUCGUAUCCCUCCCCGCCUCGCCUCAAGCCAUGACGACCCCCUUCUCGGCAACGCUGUGAGCCGCCCCCGUUUCCCUCCUCCUCUUUCCACCGCGUUCACAGCGUCGCCCGCCGUGCCCCUCGCCGCGCGCUCGCCCACCACCGCGCCAGCCCCGGUCCGCGCCCUCUCCUGCAUGCUUGCGUGCGCAUGACCCUAGCCGCGCCUGCGCCGUGAUCCCCUUAUCCNNNNNNNNNNNNNNNNNNNNNNNNNNNNNNNNNNNNNNNNNNNNNNNNNNNNNNNNNNNNNNNNNNNNNNNNNNNNNNNNNNNNNNNNNNNNNNNNNNNNNNNNNNNNNNNNNNNNNNNNNNNNNNNNNNNNNNNNNNNNNNNNNNNNNNNNNNNNNNNNNNNNNNNNNNNNNNNNNNNNNNNNNNNNNNNNNNNNNNNNNNNNNNNNNNNNNNNNNNNNNNNNNNNNNNNNNNNNNNNNNNNNNNNNNNNNNNNNNNNNNNNNNNNNNNNNNNNNNNNNNNNNNNNNNNNNNNNNNNNNNNNNNNNNNNNNNNNNNNNNNNNNNNNNNNNNNNNNNNNNNNNNNNNNNNNNNNNNNNNNNNNNNNNNNNNNNNNNNNNNNNNNNNNNNNNNNNNNNNNNNNNNNNNNNNNNNNNNNNNNNNNNNNNNNNNNNNNNNNNNNNNNNNNNNNNNNACCAAGACCCACAUCCCCUAAUUAACCAUUUAAUAAAUUUAAACUCUUAAAUUAACAUUAGUGUAUGACAUGUGGGUCCCCUAUUAAUUAAACUAAUUUAAUUAAAAUCUAUUAACUUCAAGUCUAUGACAUAUGGGCCCCACUGAACAUUUGACCAGUCAACGGUCCAGUCAAAUGUUGACCGGAUAGUUGACCAGAGGGCCCCACCAGUCAGCCUCUGUGCUGUUCUCCUGGGUACCUUUCUGAGUACACCUAGCAUUUUGCAUUUACAAUAUUUGUUUUAAAAUAAAUUAGAAUAAUUUCAAAAAAAUGAUUGAAACUUUUAAAAUUAAAAAAAAUUAUCCGUAACUCGGAUGAAAUUACUUUAUACAUGGAAGUUGCUCAAAAAAUGAGACGAAUCCUAAUACACAGUCCGUUCUUCUGCCACACGUCCCUAGCAUAGCGAACAUGCAACCACCCCCCUCCGGUUCGACUGUCCGAAAAUGUCAAACACCGGGAAUACUUUUCCGGAUGUUUCCCCUUCACUAGUAGCACCUAGUACCGCGUGAGGCAUACCUAGCACCACUUAUUGUAAUGUCAUGCAUCGUCAUGCAUCUGUUUGCAUUGUAUUCAUUGUUUCUUGCUCCUCUUCUCUCCGGUAGACUACGAGACUGACGCCGGUGCUGCCCCGGUCGAUUACGGUGUCCAUGACCCCUCCUUGUCAGCAGAGCUUCCAGGCAAGCAAACCCCCUUGAUCAUCCCGAUAUCGCCUACUCUUUCCUCUACUGCUUGCAUUAGAGUAUUGUUACUGUUUGUCGGUUUGAUCCUAUACUGCUGCAUGGCCUGUCUUUGAUACUACUUAUGUGUUAUUUGUUAGUACGCUUGGAGAAAAUGCCUUUGAUUAGGGCAUCUUCAACAGCGACCAGUAAAUUUCCUCCCGCGUUCGUCCACGAAUAGGGGAUCAGUCCGCGGACACGGAUACAGGAAUUGGCCAUCCAACAAUGUCCGCAUAUAUUUAAAACACUUAAAAAAUAGGAUGAAAUUCAUGCAAACACAGUGGAUUUCAUACAAACCGGACAAAAAUGUUUACAUUUUGGACAUUUUUUUUUUACUAAAAACUCUACAGCCGGUGCCGGCGAAUAUCCACUCCGGCAACAUGGAUACCCUUGACUAGUCUACUGCCGGCCGCAGCAGAUCUCCAAUGUCGUCCCCAUGUUCGGCAGCUGUGAGCCCUAGAGGUAUAUGCUUCAGCGCAAAGAGCGGCUCGCCUCCUACCGCUCAUCGGAGUGGAACAACCAGUUGAUGCUUCUGCCGAUGGGGAAGGGUCCCUACGCUACACGAAUUAGAGUUGGUUUUGGGUUGGGGGAACGGCGGUGGCCUGUCAGAGGGCAAGACACCGACUGUGUACGCUGGUGUCACCUGGUGUGGCAUUCAUGGGACCCAAGCGGCAGCGCCUCCUCAAUGAUGGCAGCGAGCGCGGACGUGUUGGACACCACCUCGUCGAUGUCCGUGCAGCCCGCUUCUUUCUCUGUAGGAAGGACGCGGUUACGCUCGCGUUGACAUCGGAUGACUCGGUCACAUGCACGAGAGGGGCGGUACAACAUGGCACCGUCAAUGGCAGCCAUGAUGCCCGCGCCACCGUGGUCCCUCCCAGUGCCGACCUGGAGCAACUUGCCACUCCUCGGCUCGUGACCGGCGGGCUUUACGGGCCACCUAGCCAUUUUUUAUGCCAGCCAACUCUUCUUCCUGCUCGUCAGAUGUCAUGGAGAAAACUGUUCAAGGAGGAAAAUGAUGAGUGGACGUGUGAUGCGCUUCUUGCCCAACAUCUGACAUUGUUUAAAUAGCGAGGGGACACGAGAGGAGCCAACCGGCGUUCUGUUCAAUGCCAACUGGCUCGCGAACGAACAUGUGGCCGGAGUAAUUAUCCUGGCACACACGCGGGUUUAAUGGUGGAAGGCGGGCAGUCUGCAGGAAUGAGGUGAGGAUGCGUGUUUAGCCGGCGUGCAGCGGGCAGCGCCCUCGGCCGGCGUGCUGCUUCCAUUGCGGAGGUAGUGAGAGGUCGCGUCCGCUCUGCAGCGCAUGAAUGCGGGCAGCUGGCGCAGAGCGGGAACGCGUGCAUGGUUUGGGUGGGCACGGGUGGUGAGAAGAGGUCAUGGGUGUUGUCCGAACGCCUGGAAAGCCCCCCCUCCAUGUUUGUCUCCGGUUUACGGGAGAAAGUACGUCCGGACCGUUUGAUGGACCAAUACAGGCCCGCAUUGGAUGGCACAACACGUCCGGACCAUGUGGUCCGGAUGGUUGUGGACGGUUUAAUUGAGGGUCGACGUUGGAGAUGCCUUAGAGUUUAUGAAUCCAUUGUGUUUUUUAAUCAUAAAAAGCACUUAUAACAAGUUAUAAGGAAAGACACGUUUAUAUGUUAGGUUCGGACUCCAGCUUUCCUCUUACAUAUGCUUUAUUGUGAUCCGACUGAUUCCAAUAGAGUGAGCCUAGCGUUGUUUUUCUGGAAACUUGCGGGAUAAGGAGACAUGCAUACACAUUCAUUCAAGCAAAUCACAUCCAUUCUUUUUAACUCAUUUUUCUUCUUUUAAUAAUAUAAUAGAUCAUUUAUAUUUUUAUCUCAAACAGUUGACGUGUAAUUUAUACUGUAAUCUGAGGAUAAUGUUUGGAUUUACUUUCAAAUAUAUUUGAAAUGGCCAUGAUGGAAUCACAUCCAUUUAUUUUAUUAUUAUUUGAAUUUGAUCCAAAAGAUAAAUAAUGAGUAGAGGUCAUGUCAACUUUUCUGAGAACUUUGCUAAUCAAAAUAUAAUUUGUAUUUAAAAACAUCUUUUUAGCACGCAUGAAAAACAUAACGCCUAUCUUUUCACACAUGAUGAACGGUUGUCAUAAGAACUCAUGGCAUGCCACAAGCUCCCUCCGACCCUGCCAACAUUGUUACAGCUGCACUCGCAAGCUUUAUCGUAGAUGAUCAUUUAUACGAUUUGCGUAAAUCAAAAUAAGAUCUACAAACGAAUAGAAGCUAGAACGUACCUUGGCAUGCACACACAUUGCAAGCCAUACUAAGCUGAUAAGUGUUAAUAACUUCUACAACAUAUACAACACUUAAGACAAGUAAAAGCAAUUUGAUGAGUCAUGGUCUAUCAAAGGCACAUUACUAGUCUAAUCCAUCUUAACAGGUCACACAUGAUUAAAACCUUGUUUGUGUGCAAGUCAAGCUUAUCUAGUUUACAUGUAACAACUUGUAGAACAUUACAAAAUUUAUGUUUGCUAAUAACCUCUAGAACACUACAACACUUGACAUGUAAAAGGAAUUUGAUGAGUCAUGGCCUACUAAAGCAAGUUAUAUUACUAGUCUUAUCUACCUUAACAGGCCACACAAGAUUACAAACUAAGUUCUGUGCUAGCCAUGCUUAUCUAGUUUAUGCGUAACAAUUUGCAGAAAAUUACAAACUUAGUUUCAGAAAAAUAGGCAAUCUAGAUUAGUGUUUGAGCUGUAAAGUGAAUAAGAUGAGUCAUGUGUGUUAUCACACCUUUUUGGUUGUGGAAUAAUAGUGCAACAACAAGGAACUUUAAUGACCAGUCCAAGAAUACACUUGUAAGUAGUGCCACCGAACACAACAUGCCAAAUUUUGAUUUUGAGAAGCAUCCAAACACUUCCACACAAGCAAAUGCCAAUUGUGAAAGAGAUCAUGCCAUGGCAGCUAUAAAUAGGCCCGUAGCAUGACGAUCAUCCUUCCUCAUCCAUCAUUCUCAUAAGUAGAGCGCAUCAUUUAAGCCAAGCAAGCAGUGCUCAAUACAAAUCCACCAUGAAGACCUUUCUCAUCCUUGCCCUCCUUGCUAUUGUGGCGACCACCGCCACAACUGCAGUUAGAGUUCCAGUGCCACAAUUGCAGCUACAAAAUCCAUCUCAGCAACAGCCACAAGAGCAAGUUCCAUUGGUACAAGAACAACAAUUUCCAGGGCAGCAACAACCAUUUCCACCACAACAGCCAUAUCCGCAGCCGCAACCAUUUCCAUCACAACAACCAUAUCUGCAGCUGCAACCAUUUCCACAGCCGCAACUACCAUAUCCGCAGCCGCAACCAUUUCGACCACAACAACCAUAUCCACAGCCGCAACCACAGUAUUCGCAACCACAACAACCAAUUUCGCAGCAGCAGCAGCAGCAGCAGCAACAACAACAACAACAACAACAAAUCCUACAACAAAUUUUGCAACAACAACUGAUUCCAUGCAGGGAUGUUGUAUUGCAACAACACAACAUAGCGCAUGGAAGCUCACAAGUUUUGCAAGAAAGUACUUACCAGCUGGUGCAACAAUUGUGUUGUCAGCAGCUGUGGCAGAUCCCCGAGCAGUCGCGGUGCCAAGCCAUCCACAAUGUUGUUCAUGCUAUUAUUCUGCAUCAACAACACCACCACCACCAACAACAACAACAACAACAACAACAACAACCGUUGAGCCAAGUCUCCUUCCAACAGCCUCAGCAACAAUAUCCAUCAGGCCAGGGCUUCUUCCAACCAUCUCAGCAAAACCCACAGGCCCAGGGCUCUUUCCAGCCUCAACAACUGCCCCAGUUUGAGGCAAUAAGGAACCUAGCGCUACAGACGCUACCUGCAAUGUGCAAUGUGUAUAUCCCUCCAUAUUGCACCAUUGCUCCAUUUGGCAUCUUCGGUACUAACUGAGAAGAGAAGAACUCUAGUAGUAGAUAUAUGAUACACCGUUUUCUUAGUCCAUGGUUUGGUCGUUGUAGCGGUGAAAAAAUAAAGUGACAUGCACUAUCAUGUAAGAACCUGAACUAUACUAGUUCAAACUUGGGAAUAAAAGACAAACACAGGUCUUGUCUACAUAUGAUUGUUUGUUUGAGUUCCACUCAUGUGCCCAUUCACAAGUUCACCCCUAAUUAUAUAUAUUAUGCAUUAAGUAGAUAUUUAUGUUGCAUUAAUCUAAAGAUAACAAAAUGAGUCUGAAAUUUGAAUUAAAUUGAAGUAUUUCCUUGGACUUUCAAAUGGAGUAUUAUUAAAGUAGUAAGGACUAUCCACAUCCUUGGCUUGCCCUUGAUCAAUUAUUUGCUGAGAAGCAUUCAAUUCGUCAAUCAAUUACAUUGAUUUUUGUGGCUGGUACUUCUCCUCAACAUGAGUAUAUUCAUCGUGGCUACUCCAAAUCGGCAUGAAUGAGGUACCGGUGCUCUGGAGCACUAGUACCUAACAGCUUCUCAUGUGAAGGGGUGCGGGCACGGGAGAGGUGUUUUUGGUGGGUCAAGGGAGUAAGAAGCGGCCGUGGCAGCGGUCCAGACGCCCACAAAGCCUCGUAGUUUGUUUUUGGUUUACAGGAAAAUGCACAUCCAGACUGGCCUGCGGGCCGAUAUAGGACCGUAUUGGAUGGCAAAACAUGUCCAGAUGGUUGUGAGCGGUUUGAGGGUUAGCUUUUGUAACGCCCGGUUAGUUAUGCUAUGGUAGUUCCCUGCUAAUGAUGUCACGUCACCACGAUUACUGUUGUUAACCUCACAAUGAUUCAAUCCCAUUCAAAUCCAAAUUUAAAAUAAAGGCAAACAUCAAAAGUUUCAAACAUUAAAACUAAAAUCUUCGAGAGGUGAAAAAUAAUGCAUAAGUAAUUAUGGUGGAGAAACCACACUUUUAUAAAAUGUUUAAAUACUCUAAAAGGAAUAAAACAGUGGCUUAAACUAUUAUUUAAAUGCUUUUAAAAUAGUAAAAAUGUUCUAACUAAAUUAAUUGGGUACCAAACUUUUGGUGGCAGUGGUAUAUUUAGUAGAAAAAAUUUAGAUGCUAAUUAUAUAAUUUACAAAAUUAAAGUAAAUUAAAAAAUAGGAUAAAACAUAAAAGGAAAGACAAAACAAAUAAAAGCAAAAGGGGGCAACCCCUCACUGAGCCUCGGCCUAGCUGGCCACUAGGCUAGCUAGGCCGGCCCAGCCGCCUCCCUUAACCCCCCACUCCCCAUCGAACAAUAGCCCGAUCGCCCCACUUCCCCCACACCCCCUCGUCAGCCUCCCCACCUCUCGAUCCCAUCUGGAUCGGGGAGGGGAUCGCCCCCAUCGACCCCGUCGCCAUCGCCGGAUCACCCGCUCGCCCAUCGCCCGCCGGCGUCGCCGGGCCUCCUCCCCGCCGCCCGUCUCCGGCUCUCCUCCCCUCUCGCUCCUCUUCCCCGACCCGAUAUGGAUCGAGAAGGGGCAAUGAGCCCGACGCCCCCCUCCACCGACGUUGUGCGCCAGCACCGCCACCCGAAGACCUCGUCGUCGCCGGACCUCGCGUCGCCUCCUCGUAUCUCUCCCCGACUCGCCUCCUCAAGCCACGCCGACCCCCUUCUCGGCAACGCUGUGAGCCGCCCCCGUUUCCCUCCUUCUCUUUCCACCGUGUUUGAUAAGUCUCCAACGUAUCUAUAAUUUUUGAUUGUUCCAUGCUAUAUUAUAUUCUGUUUUGGAUGAUUAAUGGGAUUUAUUAUACACUUUUAUAUUAUUUUUGGGACUAACCUAUUAACCGGAGGCCCAGCCCAAAUUGCUGUUUUUUUGCCUAUUUCAGUGUUUCGCAGAAAAAGAAUAUCAAACGGAGUCCAAACGGAAUGAAACCUUCGGGAAUGUGAUUUUCGGAACAAACGUGAUCCAGAGGACUUGGAGUGGACGUCAAGCAACAGACGAGGAAGCCACGAGGUAGGGGCGCGCCUACCCUCCUGGGCGCGCCCUCCACCCUCAUGGGCCCCUCGUGGCUCCACUGACCUACUUCUUCCUCCUAUAUAUACCUACGUACCCCCAAACCAUCAGAAGCGACCACAAAAACCUAAUUCCACCGCCGCAACCUUCUGUACCCGUGAGAUCCCAUCUUAGGGCCUUUUCCGGCGUCCUGCCGGAGGGGGCAUUGAUCACGGAGGGCUUCUACAUCAACACCAUAGCCUCUCCGAUGAUGUGUGAGUAGUUUACCUCAGACCUUCGGGUCCAUAGUUAUUAGCUAGAUGGCUUCUUCUCUCUCUUUGGAUCUCAAUACAAAGUUCUCCUCGUUUCUCUUGGAGAUCUAUUUGAUGUAACUCUUCUUUUUGCGGUGUGUUUGUCGAGAUCCGAUGAAUUGUGGGUUUAUGAUCAAGAUUAUCUAUGAACAAUAUUUGAAUCUCCUCUGAAUUCUUUUAUGUAUGAUUGGUUAUCUUUGCAAGUCUCUUCGAAUUAUCAGUUUGGUUUGGCCUACUAGAUUGAUCUUUCUUGCAAUGGGAGAAGUGCUUAGCUUUGGGUUCAAUCCUGCGGUGUCCUUUCCCAGUGACAGCAGGGGCAGCAAGGCACGUAUUGUAUUGUUGCCAUCGAGGAUAAAAAGAUGGGGUUUAUAUCAUGUUGCAUGAGUUUAUCCCUCUACAUCAUGUCAUCUUGCUUAAAGCGUUACUCUGUUUUUAUGAACUUAAUACUCUAGAUGCAUGCUGGAUAGCGGUCGAUGUGUGGAGUAAUAGUAGUAGAUGCAGAAUCGUUUUGGUCUACUUGUCACGGACGUGAUGCCUAUAUACAUGAUCAUACCUAGAUAUUCUCAUAACUAUGCUCAAUUCUAUCAAUUGCUCGACAGUAAUUCGUUUACCCACCAUAAUACUUAUGCUCUUGAGAGAAGCCACUAGUGAAACCUAUGGCCCCCGGGUCUAUUUUCCAUCAUAUUAAUCUUCCGUCAACAAGCUAUUUCUAUCUUUAUUUACCUUGUAAUCUUUACUUUUACUCUUUAUCAUAAAAAUACCAAAAAUAUUAUCUUAUCAUCUCUAUCAGAUCUCACUCUCGUAAGUGACCGUGAAGGGAUUGACAACCCCUUUAUCGCGUUGGUUGCGAGGUUCUUAUUUGUUUGUGUAGGUGCGUGGGACUUGAGUGUGGCCUCCUACUGGAUUGAUACCUUGGUUCUCAAAAACUGAGGAAAAUACUUACGCUACUUUACUGCAUCACCCUUUCCUCUUCAAGGGAAAACCAACGCAGUGCUCAAGAGGUAGCAAGAAGGAUUUCUAGCACCGUUGCCGGGGAGUCUACGCACAAGUCAAGACAUACCAAGUACCCGUCACAAACUCUUAUCCCUCGCAUUACAUUAUUUGCCAUUUGCCUCUCGUUUUCCUCUCCCCCACUUCACCCUUGCCGUUUUAUUCGCCUCCUUUUCGUUUGCUUCUUGUUUGCUCGUGUGUUGGAUUGCUUGUUUGUCGCGAUGGCUCUACCUAGAUUUGGUGAUCUUCCAUUAAAAGGUUAGAAGAGAUUGAAAGCAACGUCAGAAGUUUCAUGACUUUACAAUUUGAGCAUAACAAUUUCUUUAGAAACGAGCUUAAGGAACAAAAAAGCUUUAUGGGUUACAUGAAUAAAGAGCUCGACGAUAUGUCUAAGGAAUUUUAUGGUCUAAAAUCUUAGAUUUCUCAUCUCGAAAAAUUAAUUGCUGAAAUUUCGGAUAAGCAGGCCACCUUAGUUAAUAAGAUGGCCGCUAAACCGGUAAUUUUUUAUGAGAAUAAAGAUGAAGAUCUAAAAGUUAUUGAUGUGUCCCCUAUUAAAUCUUAGUUUUGCAAUAUGAAUCUUGAUAAUGAUGGGACUGGAGAUGAGUCAACUUUAGUUAAAAGGCGUCCCAAAAAUUCGGAGUUUUUAGAUCUUGAUGCAAAAUUUGGUAAAAGUGGGAUUGAAGAGGUCAAAACUUUAGAUAUCAAUGAACCCACUAUCUUGGAUUUCAAGGAAUUUAAUUAUGAUAAUUGCUCUUUGAUAUAUUUUAUUUCCUUGUUGCAAUCCGUGUUAAAUUCUCCUCAUGCUUAUAGUCAAAAUAAAGCUUUUACUAAACAUAUCGUUGUUGCUUUGAUGCAAUCUUAUGAAGAAAAACUUGAGUUGGAAGUUUCUAUCCCUAGAAAACUUUAUGAUGAAUGGGAACCUACAAUUAAAAUUAAAAUUAAAGAUCAUGAAUGCUAUGCUUUGUGUGAUUUGGGUGCUAGUGUUUCCACGAUCCCAAAAACUUUGUGUGAUUUGCUAGGUUUCCGUGAAUUUGAUGAUUGUUCUCUAAAUUUGCAUCUUGCGGAUUCCACCAUCAAGAAACCUAUGGGAAGAAUUAAUGAUGUUAUUAUUGUUUCAAAUAGGAACUAUGUGCCCGUAGAUUUUAUUGUUCUUGAUAUAGAUUACAAUCCUUCAUGUCCUAUUAUUUUUGGUAGACCUUUCCUUAGAACGAUUGGUGCAAUUAUUGAUAUGAAAGAAGGAAAUAUUAGAUUCCAAUUUCCGUUAAGGAAAGGUAUGGAACACUUUCCUAGAAAGAAAAUAAAAUUACCUUAUGAAUCUAUUAUGAGAGCUACUUAUGGAUUGCCUACCAAAGAUGGCAAUACCUAGAUCUAUCCUCGCUUUUAUGCCUAGCUAGGGGCGUUAAAUGGUAGCGCUUGUUGGGAGGCAACCCAAAUUUUAUUUUAGUUUUUUUGCUUUUUUGCUUCUGUUUAGGAAUAAAUCUUUGAUCUAGACUCUGGUUAGACUUGUUUUUAUGUUUUAAUUAGUGUUUGUGCCAAGUUAAACCUAUAGGAUCUUCUUGGAUGAUAGUUAUUUGAUCUUGCUGAAAAUUCCAGAAACUUUCUGUUCACGAAAACAAUUGUUAAAAAUCACCAGAACGUGAUAAAAUACUGAUUCUAAUUGCAGUAGAUCAAUAAACAAAUUAUCUAGGUCUUCCUAUUUUGGUAGAUUUUUCUGAGUUACAUAAGUUUGUGUUAGUUACAGAUUACUACAGACUGUUCUGUUUUUGACAGAUUCUGUUCUUCGUGUGUUGUUUGCUUAUUUUGAUGAAUCUAUGGCUAGUAAAAUAGUUUAUAAACCAUAGAUAAGUUGGAAUACAUUAGGUUUAACACCAAUAUAAAUAAAGAAUGAGUUCAAUACAGUACCUUGAAGUGGUGUUUUGUUUUCUUUCGCUAACGGAGCUCACGAGAUUUUCUGUUAAGUUUUGUGUUGUGAAGUUUUCAAGUUUUGGGUAAAGAUUUGAUGGAUUAUGGAACAAGGAGUGGCAAGAGCCUAAGCUUGGGGACGCCCAAGGCACCCCAAGGUAAAUCUAAGGACACCAAAAAUCCAAAGCUUGGGGAUGCCCCGGAAGGUAUCCACUCUUUCGUCUUCGUCCAUCGGUAACUUUACUUGGAGCUAUAUUUUUAUUCACCACAUGAUAAGUGUUUUGCUUGGAGCGUCUUGUAUGAUUUGAGUAUUUGCUUUUUAGUUUACCACAUUCAUACUUGCUGUACACACCUUUUGAGAGAGACACACAUGAUUCAGAAUUUAUUAGAAUACUCUAUGUGCUUCACUUAUAUCUUUUGAGCUAUAUAGUUUUUGCUCUAGUGCUUCACUUAUAUCUUUUAGAGCACGGUGGUGGUUUUGUUUUAUAGAAACUAUUUUUCUCUCAUGCUUCACUUAUAUCAUUUUGAGAGUCCUACAUAACAGCAUGGUAAUUUGCUUAAAUUGAGAAAUUAGUCCUAAUAUGAUAGGCAUCCAAGAUUAGUAAAAACUUUCUUAUAAGUGCGUUGAAUACUAAGAAAAGUUUGAUGCUUGAUGAUUGUUUUGAGAUAUGGAGGUAGUGAUAUUAAAGUUGUGCUAGUUGAGUAGUUUUGAAUUUGAGAAAUACUUGCGUUGAAGUUUGCAAGUCCCGUAGCAUGCACGUAUGGUAAACGUUGUGUAACAAAUUUGAAACAUGAGGUGUUCUUUGAUUGUCCUCCUUAUGAGUGGCGGUCGGGGACGAGUGAUGGUCUUUUCCUACCAAUCUAUCCCCCUAGGAGCAUGCGCGUAGUGCUUGGUUUUUGAUGACUUGUAGAUUUUUGCAAUAAGUAUGUGAGUUCUUUAUGACUAAUGUUGAGUCCAUGGAUUAUACGCACUCUCACCCUUCCAUCAUUGCUAGCAUCUUCGGUACCGUGCAUUGCCCUUUCUCACCUUGAGAGUUGGUGCAAAUUUCGCCGGUGCAUCCAGACCCCGUGAUACGAUACGCUCUGUCACACAUAAACCUCCUUAUAUCUUCCUCAAAACAGCCACCAUACCUACCUGUUAUGGCAUUUCCAUAGCCAUUCCGAGAUAUAUUGUCAUGCAACUUUCCACCGUUCCGUUUAUCAUGACACGUUUCAACAUUGUCAUAUUGCCUUGCAUGAUCAUGUAGUUGACAUCGUAUUUGUGGCAAAGCCACCGUUCAUAAUUUUUCAUACAUGUCACUCUUGAUUCAUUGCCCAUCCCGGUACACCGCCGGAGGCAUUCAUAUAGAGUCAUACUUUGUUCUAGUAUCGAGUUGUAAUCAUUGAGUUAUAAAUAAAUAGAAGUGUGAUGAUCAUCAUUCAUAGAGCAUUGUCCCAAAAAAAGGAGAAAGGCCAAAUGAAAAAAAGGCCCAAAAAAAGGGGCAAUGUUACUAUCCUUUUUCCAUACUUGUGCUUCAAAGUAGCACCAUGGUCUUUAUGAUAGAGAGUCUCUUGUUUUGUCACUUUCAUAUACUAGUGGGAAUUUUUCAUUAUAGAACUUGGCUUGUAUAUUCCCACAAUGGGCUUCCUCAAAUGCCCUAGGUCUUCGUGAGCAAGCAAGUUGGAUGCACACCCACUUAGUUUCUUUUGUUGAGCUUUCAUGCAUUUAUAGCUCUAGUGCAUCCGUUGCAUGGCAAUCCCUACUCCUUGCAUUGACAUCAAUCGAUGGGCAUCUCCCUAGCUCGUUGAUUAGCCGCGUCAAUGUGAGACUUUCUUUUCUUUUUUUCUUCUCCACAUAACCCCCAUCAUCAUAUUAUAUUCCACCCAUAGUGUUAUAUCCAUGGCUCACGCUCAUAUAUUGCGUGAAAGUUGAAUUUUUUUUGAGAUUACUAAAGUAUGAAACAAUUGCUUGGCUUGUAAUCGGGGUUGUGCAUGAUGAGAGCAUUCUUGUGUGACGAAAAUGGGGCAUGACCAAACUAUAUGAUUUUGUAGGGAUGAACUUUCUUUGGCCAUGUUAUUUUGAGAAGACAUAAUUGCUUAGUUAGUAUGCUUGAAGUAUUAUUACUUUUAUGUCAAUAUUAAACUUUUAUCUUGAAUCUUUCGGAUCUGAAUAUUCAUACCACAAAUAAGAGAAUUACAUUGAAAAUUAUGCUAAGUAGCAUUCCACAUCAAAAAUUCUGUUUUUAUCAUUUACCUACUCGAGGACGAGCAGGAAUUAAGCUUGGGGAUGCUUGAUACGUCUCCAACGUAUCUAUAAUUUUUGAUUGUUCCAUGCUAUAUUAUAUUCUGUUUUGGAUGAUUAAUGGGCUUUAUUAUACACUUUUAUUAUUUUUGGGACUAACCUAUUAACCGGAGGCCCAGCCCAAAUUGUUGUAUUUUUUGCCUAUUUUAGUGUUUCGCAGAAAAAGAAAAUCAAACGGAGUCCAAACGGAAUGAAACCUUCGGGAACGUGAUUUUCGGAACAAAUGUGAUCCAGAGGACUUGGAGUGGACGUCAAGGAACAGACGAGGAAGCCAUGAGGUAGGGGGGCGCGCCUACCCCCUGGGCGCGCCCUCCACCCUCGUGGCUCCACCGACCUACUUCUUCCUCCUAUAUAUACCUACGUACCCCCAAACCAUCAGAAGCGACCAUGAAAACCUAAUUCCACCACCGCAACCUUCUAUACCCCUGAGAUCCCAUCUUGGGGCCUUUUCCGGCGUCCUGCCGGAGGGGGCAUUGAUCACGGAGGGCUUCUACAUCAACACCAUAGCCUCUCCGAUGAUGUGUGAGUAGUUUACCUCAGACCUUCGGGUCCAUAGUUAUUAGCUAGAUGGCUUCUUCUCUCUCUUUGGGUCUCAAUACAAAGUUCUCCUCGUUUCUCUUGGAGAUCUAUUUGAUGUAACUCUUCUUUUUGCGGUGUGUUUGUCGAGAUCCGAUGAAUUGUGGGUUUAUGAUCAAGAUUAUCUAUGAACAAUAUGUGAAUCUCCUAUGAAUUCUUUUAUGUAUGAUUGGUUAUCUUUGCAAGUCUCUUCGAAUUAUCAGUUUGGUUUGGCCUACUAGAUUGAUAUUUCUUGCAAUGGGAAAAGUGCUUAGCUUUGGGUUCAAUCUUGCGGUGUCCUUUCCCAGUGACAGCAGGGGCAGCACGGCACAUAUUGUAUUGUUGCCAUCGAGGGUAAAAAGAUGGGGUUUAUAUCAUAUUGCAUUAGUUUAUCCCUCUACAUCAUGUCAUCUUGCUUAAAGCGUUACUCUGUUCUUACGAACUUAAUGCUCUAGAUGCAUGCUGGAUAGCGGUCGAUGUGUGGAGUAAUAGUAGUAGAUGCAGAAUCGUUUCGGUCUACUUGUCACGGACGUGAUGCCUAUAUACAUGAUCAUACCUAGAUAUUCUCAUAACUAUACUCAAUUCUAUCAAUUGCUCGACAGUAAUUCGUUUACCCACCGUAAUACUUAUGCUCUUGAGAGAAGCCACUAUUGAAACCUAUGGCCCCCGGGUCUAUUUUCCAUCAUAUUAAUCUUCCGUCAACAAGCUAUUUCUAUCUUUAUUUACCUUGCAAUCUUUACUUUUACUCUUUAUCAUAAAAAUACCAAAAAAAAUUAUCUUAUCAUCUCUAUCAGAUCUCACUCUCGUAAGUGACCGUGAAGGGAUUGACAACCCCUUUAUCGCGUUGGUUGCGAGGUUCUUAUAUAUUUGUGUAGGUGCGUGGGACUUGAGUGUGGCCUCCUACUGGAUUGAUACCUUGGUUCUCAAAAACUGAGGGAAAUAAUUACACUACUUUACUGCAUCACCCUUUCCUCUUUAAGGGAAAACCAACGCAGUGCUCAAGAGGUAGCAGUGUUCACCGCGCCGCCCGCCGUGCCCCUCGCCGCGCGCACGCCCACCACCGCGCCAGCCCCCGCUCAGCGCCCUCUCCUGCACGCUUGUGCGCGCAUGACCCUAGCCACGCCCGCGCCGUGAUCCCCUUGUUCGGCCCGCCUUCGUCCCGCGCUCGCCGCGGCCCCCAUGCUCCCCCGUGCCAUCUUCUAGGGGCGUCGGCUGCCCCUGUCCCGCUGCUCGCUGCCACGCCUCGCCCGCCCGCGCCUCGCCACCGCUCUACUGCUACGCUAAUAUUGCGCUGUGGCCGCCGCCGCUUCCCGCUGCUCUGCCAGCGCCGAAGCUCCCGGUUGGCUCCGCCGCUGCUCACGUUUUACCGCCCCUAAACGGCCUACCCCCCCCCUCGCUAAUGAACCCCCACUGACCCGCUGACACCGGGACCCACAUCCCCUAAUUAACCAUUUAAUAAAUUAAAAAUCUUAAAUUAACAUUAGUGUAUGACAUGUGGGUCCCCUAUUAAUUAAACUGAUUUAAUUAAAAUCUAUUAACAUUGAGUCUGUGACAUAUGGGCCCCACUAAACAUUUGACCAGUCAACGGUCUAGUCAAAUGCUGACCGGACAGUUGACCAGAGGGCCCCACCAGUCAGCCUCUGUGCUGUUCUGCUGGGUACCUUUCUAAGUACACCUAGCAUUUUGCAUUUACAAUAUUUGUUUUAAAAUAAAUUAGAAUAAUUUCAAAAAAAGAUUAAAACUUUUAAAAUUAAAAUAAAAUAAUCCGUAACUCGGAUGAAAUUACUUUAUACAUGCAAGUUGCUCAAAAAACGAGACGAAUCCGAAUACACAGUCCGUUCGUCUGCCACACGUCCCUAGCAUAGCAAACAUGCAACCAUCCCCCUCCGGUUCGACUGUCCGAAAAUGUCAGACACGGGAAAUACUUUUCCGGAUUUUCCCCUUCACCAUUAGCACCUAGUACCGCGUGAGGGCAUACCUAGCACCACUUAUUGUAAUGUCAUGCAUCGUCAUGCAUCUGUUUGCAUUGUAUUCAUUGUUUCUUCCUCCUCUUCUCUCCGGUAGACUACGAGACCGACGUCGGUGCUGCCCCGGUCGACUACGGUGUCCAUGACCCCUCCUUGUAAGCAGAGCUUCCAGGCAAGCAAACCCCCUUGAUCAUCCCGAUAUCGCCUACUCUUUCCCUCUACUGCUUGCAUUAGAGUAUUGUUACUGUUUGUCGGUUUGAUCCUAUACUGCUGCAUGGCUUGUCUUUGAUACUACUUAUGUGUUAUUUGUGUAGAUUUGUCAAGGAAAAAUGAGUCUAUAGCCUAAUAAAUGAAGUGUUGCAUGUUACCACACAUAUGUUAAUCCCCACUAUAGAGUUAGUAACAUAGACUAGUAACAUGUGCAUGUUACUACCCAUUGUGGCCAGUCUAUGUUACCACUUUCCUCUCUUUCUUCAUUUAUUGCUUGCCACAUCAUCUAUUUUAUCUAGGUAUGUGUGAUAUUACUACCUAUGUUACUCCCACUGUGGGUAGUCUAAGCAGGCUAUAAGGAAUAGAAUAAUAUAUAUGUGCUUAUUAGUUGGAGGAAAGAGAAGAGAAGCGGGCUCUUGGUUAGUAGAGCCAGCUACAACAUGAGACCCAAGCACUUUGUGAGGAUGUAAGGUGGCCAACUAUUGAUAAACUAGUACGUAUAUAAAAAUUAUUAUUGCACAUGGCCGCUAAGAGGUUGGCUGUAUAUGACAUGACAACUUCUUAUAGCCGACCCUUGGCUGUAUUAUUAACCAUGCUCUUAGUGAGGUAGCUAGUAUAUCAUAGACGACUAGCUAGUAUCAGACUAGCCAAAGUGGGAGUAACUUCAGCAGUAACAUCGACUCCAACUCAGAAAACUUGCUUAUGUGGGAGUAAACCGUGCCCAAUGCAAAAUACAAUCCCAGUCAUAAUUUUUUCAGGAAACGUGUGGUAUCCCAAACGAAAAGUACAUGUCACUCUUGCGGCAACGAUACCCAAUAAAUCACAAACGGUCUGCAGCACUUGUAUGUGUGCGAAGAGGCUCCUGAACCGUUUGUGAUAGAACAUUAUCGUAGACGAUAAUUGUUGGCAAACGUGUGCGAUGGAGUCUAGCAUGGCAGACAGGUUACGCAGAAAACUCGUGUGCGAUGGGGCACAAAUCGCACACAGUUCAUAUGUUGGCCCGUGUGCCUUACAUACUAUUUCCCAAACGGUUUGUUACGACAGACCGUAUGGUUUCAGUGCGUCAUUAGAAACGCUUAAUCACCGAUACCACACGUGCGAAAGAAUUUAGUGUGUGCUUCAUCGCACACGAUUACAUUUUGGAAGGCCUCUGGAUCACUGCUCCAUAUCCCCGACGGUUUCUGGGUCGUGUGGGAAGUACACCCUAUCGCACACACUCACUUGGCGACGGUUCCAAAUGCCAUCGCGGAAAGGGGUUGAAAACAGUUUGUUUAGAACCGACGCGUACCAUUGUCUAUCUAUCUAUCUACCUAUCUAUCUAUCUAUCUAUCCAUCCAUCUAUCUAUCUAUCCAUCUAUCUAUCCACCUAUCCAUCUAUCCAUCUAUCUAUCUCUAUCCAUCUAUCUAUCUAUCCAUCUAUCCAUCUAUCUAUCCAUCUAUUUAUCUAUCUAUCUAUCUAUCUAUCUAUCUAUGUAUCCAUCGAUCCAUCUAUCCAUCCAUCGAUCCAUCUAUCCAUCCAUCUAUCUAUCCAUGCAUCCAUGUAUCCAUCUAUCGAUCUAUCCAUCUAUCCAUAUAUCGAUCUAUCCAUCUAUCUAUCCAUCUAUCCAUCUAUCCAUCUAUCGAUCUUUCCAUCUAUCGAUCUAUCCAUCUCUUCAUCUACCCAUCUAUCCAUCUAUCCAUCUACCGAUCUAUCUAUCCAUCUAUCUACCUACCUAUCUAUCUAGCUAUCUAGCUAUCUAUCUAUCUAUCCAUCCAUCUGUCCAUCCAUCCAUCUAUCUACCUACCUACCUACCUACCUACCUACCUAUCUAUCUAUAUAUCUAUCUAUCUAUCUAUCUAUCUAUCUAUCUAAAGGAAAUAUGCCCUAGAUGCAAUAAUAAAGUUGUUAUUUAUAUUACUUAAACUAGCAGAGUCACCCGCGCAUUUGCGCGGCUAGAUUGACUACAUAUAUUGUUAUAUUUGGGAUUAUUUUUCUAUGCCAACUUUAUGGCCUCUUACUCAGAUAUUAUCUAAUUUAAUUUACCACCACCAUAUGUUAUAUCCAUAGAUUAUAAUUAAAAGGCAACUUGCGACGAAACAUGGUCAGAUUAUUGAGUGCUCAGAAGACGGGCGCAAUAUCAUAUAUAGACUUCUAUACCAAUCUUCAUGGUUCCCAUCUUUGAUCCUCUCCUCGUCCCUUGGUAUCUAUCUUUGCACCCAAUAUGUCUUUGGAGUUCCAAGAAUUGGAUCUUAGCAUGAAUGGCUUCAAAGUGUACCAAAUGUUCUCUUGUUCCUCCCAAAUUAAUUACUGGUUGCAUUCUUAGUUGCUUUGACAUUCUUGGUUAAUGCAAUGUCUUGCCUACCAAUAUAUGCAUCCACACACGAUCAUAUUUAUAUGACCACUUACCUCUGUAUUCUGGUAUUUGUGCUUCAGAAUUUUUCUCUCAUUCAGUUUAUUCAUAGAUUAGAAACGUCGAUCGUUUCUUUAUUGGUUUGCAUUAUCUUGUUUGCCGAAUGUAAGCAUCCACACAUGCUCGUCAUGAUAUGAUUGGUCAUCAUUGUAUAUUUGUAUUUGUGUGUUGAUAGCUUAAGGAUUUUCUCGGAUUCACUUCAUAGUUUAAGGAUUUUCUCGCGUUCAAUUUAUUCUACCUUAUUCAUUUUCAUGUUUCUUUAUUGUAUUCAUAUCCAUUCUUACAAUAUAUUUUCCAAGAUAUGAACUCAACUACUAAUUACGUAGUUUUCAAUGAAAUUUUACAUGUAAAAGUGGUACAAAUGCAUAAACCCAAUUUUUUUUUAAACACGUUGACUUACAAAAAGGACAAUUCAAGCUGCAUGUACGUCCGACUCAUGUUUACCUGACAAUGUCGAUGUUGAUUUCAGCAGUAAAUGAGCUGUGUGUGACCUUUGCGCUUUCCGGUAUUCUUCUAACCUGUGUGCUUUAUGAUCAGUUUGUUGUGCUUAGUACUGGACACUGGAGUAUACUAUCAUAUUUGAUACAAACAAAUCCGAACUGCUAUAGUUAUGAUCCACUGUAUAGUUAAUGGUGGUGGUAAUUAAUAUAUGUGGUUAAAUACUUGCGCUCCUUAGGUGGGGAGUUGGAUUUGUAUUUGUCUAAAAUGAAUUUCAGAUUUCGUAUCAGUGGUGAAGCCAGCCGGAAGAACCUCUGCGUCAUUAUUAAUUUUGGUGAUAUUUUUCAUCAUAGUGUAGAAUAAUUUUAGUGCUUAUUCCGCAAAAAAAUGGCCUCAACUGACCCCAUAGCUUGUAUGUUGCGCCACCACUGUUUCGUAUAUCUUAUUACAUCCGUUGUUUUUAGAUCUUGAUGCAUAACUUUGACAAUUUUUAAUAGAUAUGUGUCUGUAUAAAAAAAUUAUAAAUGCUAUGAUAAUUUGAUUAAUUAUGAUGAAUAAAAUGGUAUUGCUUUGACUUGAUCCCUCUAACAAUUUAUAGGAAUGCUCUUAAAUAUUUCUGCUUCAUUUGAUCUCAUUAUAGCCUGCCUAAAUUACAUGGCUUAAUCGCCUUUUUUCUUUUAUCUUAGUUCAUUUCCGUAAAUUCAUUUGUACUAUAUAUGCUCCCGUAAAUUCAUUUUUUUAAUUGCUCACAUUUUUUUGAGGCAUUUUGAGUUUCUCACGUACGCUCAAACGCCCAAGAAAACACAUAUAGUGUUCGCUACGCCCAAGAAAACACAUUGAGGCAGUAAUUUCUUCAGGCAAGAUCGAUCGGCAGCUAAUUAAGUAGGCUGGAUGGCAUUGAGAAAUCCAAAAACGAUUUACAUACACAUGGUAGAUCGUCUCUCUCUCUCCUUCCACCCCUUCCUUUCAUGGCCAUCGUAGACUGCACCAUGUGGCAUUCAAACUUUUAUCAAGGGGAGAGUUUCCUCACACACACACACACACAUGCACAUACGCAAGCACACGCACACACGUGUAGUACAAACUUAGAAUUUUUGGAAAUAAUGGGAGGCCGAGCAACGGCCAUGUGAAAAUAUGAGGUAUAUAGCUUGUGGAUUUCCUUUCAGUGUACAAGGCCUGCAUGAGGAAUGGAUAAAAAAUUAUAUCUUUGAUUCCCUUAGUUAAAUCUUAUCCUUCAUCGUCAAUUAUGACUAAGCAUACAUAGUAACCGCUAGUUUCUCUUAUAUGCUUCCGAGAAGAUAAGACUGGAUAUUUUAGUUGCUAUUAAUUGUUUCCCUUCUUUCGCUAAAUAGUAGUCAAACAUGUUAUUAAUGUAUUUUGUAAGGAUAAGGUCGAGCAUCAUGGCCACUAUGUUCUAUAUAUACUGAAUUUGGUGUUCAGUAUGACAUAACAAACACAUAUUGUGAGAAGGAGUAGUGUACAUUGUUCUCUAGUGCACUUUGUUCAGCAAGUUGGGUGAAAAUGUUGAAUAGAACCAUCAAGUUUUCAUACUUUUUUUCAUGGCACAGGUUUGCCUUCUCAUGAUGAUGGCCGCACCGUUUGCACAAGCUGCUGGGAGGCCUGUGGCCUCCUUACCAUGGGUAGCGGGGUGUUGCCCGAGGAACUAUUUGUGUUGUGGUGUUGGUGCCGUUGCCCCGACAUCCCAUGCAUCACAGGCCACCUCUGUACCUUGAGUUAUGGUUUCGCCUGAUCUCCUCUCAUAACAUAGUUGAUAUAACAUAGUAGCAUCACAAAGGUUGCAUGGUUUCAUUGAUUCAUCUCUUUUCUACUCCUUGAAACUUGUGAUGCCACUUUUGAACAAUGUCAUUGCUAUGUCUUCUUAUAACUAAUAAAAUGGGAGGAUAUUUUCAUCUUAUUUGAAUUGUGUUGUAACAUUACCUACUAAUGUGGAUGAUCUGAGUGGGACUACAUAGAUCGGAUCUUCUAAAGAUGUAAUCUAGGACUUUGCGAGAUGAUGAAAUUGUCCUUUAUCUUGGUCGACACCUUUUCGUAGAAGUGUUGGUCGGCCGUCUGUGUCUUUUUGCGGUGCAUGCCGUAGAAUCCUCCAUGUUUUGUAGUUGUACAAUAACCUUUGAGGCAACCGGGGGUGGUACGUCUGAGGAAGUCGGUGGCCCAGGAAUAUUCAUAAUAAGAUCUUGACCAUGGAUGCCAAGUAAUUUGCCCCGUGCUGAUGUCGUCGGGCUGACCCGCUCACUUAUGUUUUGACUCAAGGAGUCGCUAUGUUCACCGAGUCGCGAGACAGCGGGAGGAAGGAGACGAAGGUCCCAAACGUCAGACCAAAAAGGUGGACUAGGGCUCGCCCUAGUUGUGCUCUCGGGUAUUUUCAGUUACUAGUAGGAGUAAGAAGCAUUGCAAAUUGCUCCCUCUGUUCAAUCCGUAUAUAUGUAGUCCAUAUUCAUAUAUUCAAAAUAUUUUAUAUUUGUGAACGAAGGAAGUAAUUAAUUGUAAUGCAACAAUUUCAGGGGAGGCCAGUCAACAGCUAACUAAAUGUGCUGGAUGAGACUGGAGAAAUGUAUAAACGAUUUACACAUGAUAGAACUACUCUUUUCUUGUUAAGAAAUGGAAGAAUGGAUGAUUUUAUCCGUUCGGAACAAAACCCAAUAUUCAUCCAGUUAGACGUUGUUCUGAAUUGUGACGCUUUUGAAAGUUUUCUCGCAGAAAUAUGUGUGUAUUCCAGUUGUAUCAUUAGCAAACCAAGGUUGUAUAUAUUAUAGCACAAAGAAUGUUUGGUUGAUUCGUUCAGGCGAAUCGGGUUUGUUGCUGACUGCCAAAGUCAGGCCAACUCCAGCGCACGACCCCAAACGGACAUCUGUUUUGCCUGGAUUCUGCCCGUUUGGAUAGGGCAAUGGGGUCGUGUCCGGGCCUGUCCUGUGAUGCGGUGGCCGUGCGCACAACGUGCGGACGCAUCCUUUGGCCUCAUCAUGUCCGCCACGGCCAAAAAUGCCCAUAUAUUCAUAUUUCAAUGUUCAAAACUAGUUUGCACGUUCAAAUAUUAAUUGUCUGAAAAUAAAAAUAGUUAUUACAACCCAAUCAAAAUUGUCUCUAAUAAAAUAGUUUUACAACCAAAUCGAAAUUGUCUUGAAUGAACAUAAUGAACCAAUACAUCUAUUGGUUGCCAAUGUGAUUCCACAUGUGCUCAACCAAGUCAUUUUGAAGAUCCAAAUGAGUGUGCCAAUCAUGCAUUUCACGAUGAAAUUGGGCAAACUUCUCAAACGUGGCCGGUUCUUGGUGCAGGGGCUGAACAUUUUCACCUUGAAAAUCAAAUCCUUGGUCGAAGAUGCUGUUAUCAUGCUCGUCCUCGAUGAUUAUGUUGUGCAUGAUCACACAAGCAGUCAUCACCUCCCGAAGCUUCCCUUCAUCCCAUGUCAAUGCAGGGUUUCAAACGAUACCCCAUCGGGAUUGAAGCAAACCAAAAGCACGUUCCACAUCCUUCCUAGCACUCUCUUGCAUUUGGGCAAAUCUCUUUCUCUUCUCACCUUGGGGGUUCGAGAUUGUCUUCACAAAAAGUUGACCACUGAGGAUAUAUACCAUCAGCUAGGUAGUAUCCCUUGUUAUACUGGUGGCCGUUGAUCUCAAAGUUGCCAGGUGGGGAGUGGCCUUCUGCAAGCCUUGCGAAGACUGGAGAACGCGGCAGCACGUUGAUAUCAUUGUGAGAACCUGCCAUGUCGAAGAAAGAAUGCCAUAUCCAAAGAUCUUGCGAAGCCACCGCUUCUAAUAUGAUAGUGCAAGCUUUAACAUGCCCCUUGUACUGGCCCUGCCAAGAAAAUGGACAGUUCUUCCACUCCCAGUGCAUACAAUCUAUGCUACCAAUCAUGCCUGGAAAGCCUCUAGCUGCGUUGGUCGCCAACAAGCUUUCUGUAUCAGUGGCAUUUGGCUGCUGAGGGAGUCCUGGAUUAAGGGGUCCUCGGGCGUCUGGGCUAUGUAACAUGGGCUGGACUAAUGGGCCGCGAAGAUACAAGAUGGAAGGCUUUCCCCCCAUGUCCGGAUGGGACUCUCCUUGGCGUGGAAGGCAAGCUUGGCAUGCGGAUAUUAAAGAUUCCCUUCCCUGUAAACCGAGUCUGUACAACCCUAGCCCCCUCCGAUGUCUAUAUAAACCGGAGGGUUUAGUCCGUAGAGGCAAGGAUAAUCAUACAGGCUAGAUAUCUAGGGUUUAGCCAUUACGAUCUCGAGGUAGAUCAACUCUUGUAAUCCCUAUACUCAUCAAAGUCAAUCAAGCAGGAAGUAGGGUAUUACCUCCAUUAAGAGGGCCCGAACCUGGGUAAACAUCGUGUCCCCUGCCUCCUGUUACCCUCUAUCCUUAGACGCACAGUUCGGGCCCCCCUAUCCGAGAUCCGCCGGUUUUGACACCGACAGCUGCCUCAAGUACUCAGGGCCAAACACUGCCACCACAGCCUUGUAGAAUUUGUAAAGUGACAACAGACAUGUCGACUCACUCAUGCGCACGUACUCAUCCACCAGAUCGCCUGGAAUUCCAUAUGCAAGCAUGCCGAUGGCCGCGGUGCACUUCUGGUAAGAGGAGAAUCCAAGCUUGCCAAGGGCAUCCGUCUUGCACUCGAAGUAUGGGUCAUGAGCAACCACUCCCUCUCGGAUACGAUUGAACAGAUGCCUUGCCAUACGAAAACGGCGACGGAAUUUAUUCGGCUUGAAGAGCGAGGUAUUCGCAAAGUAAUUGGCAUAGAGCAAGGCGUGGCCUCUCUCUCUAUUGCGUUUCAGGUUGGGAGCACGGCCAGGGACUGACCCCAUGUACCGAGGAAGCUGCCCAAUGUGAUCGUGAACGACCAGUGCAACCACCACCAGAUCUUCGUCAUCCGAGGACGAAUCAUCCGAUGAAUAAAUGAAGUGGUGGAAGAAAAAUUCAUCUCCACUGUCCAUACCUUUGUGGGCAAAGUGUCCAACACCUUGCGGUCGUGGUGGCAAAUAGGCCGCGAUGAUCAUCUCGAUGCAGCAGGGGUGGUUGGCGGCCGGCUACUGGCCGCUAUGGAGCACCUGGCGAAAGCUGCCGUGGUCCAUAUCCGUCGCCGGUGGUCGUAUCCCCUCUGGCACCGGCUACAACGACGACGGCCAAAUCUCCUCCAAGCGAUGGCCAGAACUCCUACGAAAGCGCGGGCUUGGUGGCGGCCGUGUCGAGACGUGGUUUGGUAUGGAUGGCCGGGGGGAAGCAGUGAGGAGGCGGUCGGAGAAUACUGGGGGCGCCGGUGGCGGGGUGGGGCGGAGGAGAGCGGGUGGAGGCGUUGGAGGCGAAUGGAGUGCUAGUGUCCCCAACAGGCGGGCCGCGGGGAGGACAAGGGCGUGUGUCCAGCCCGUCCGUGUGAUGUCCGUUUCAUCCCAAACUCGGCACAAGUUUGGGCCAGGAAUGGGUAAAAAACGGACGAAAUCCGGACAUUUGUCUAUUUGAGGCCGUGCCUUGGGUCGCGCUAUUCGUGUAUUCUACCCUAAACGGACGCACCAGAACGGAAUGGGGUCGCGUGCUGGAGUUGGCCUCACGACCGUUUCUGCCUUUGGCGCAGACAAGAGAUUCUACACUGUAAAGGAAAAAGCUGAAAGCUCGCUUGUCUCGUGUGUUUCUCUUCUCUUGCACCUUGUCGGAAAACAGCGUGCACCAGGGACGCUCGAUUCCAUGGCAGGCAUCAAUUCAAUCGAUCAUGCUACAGGGAACCGGCACUAUUUUCUUUUUCUUUUUCUUUUUCUUUUAGGUCGUGAACGCAAGUCAUUUGAGACAUUCACAUAGGACUUACAUAAUUGGUAGAUUUAUUAGCAUCAGUGUGGAGCUAAAGUGUUUGAUGUUUUGUAUGAAUGGUUUGGUCUUAACAAUCAAGCCGACCACUCAGGACCUACUUUUGGACUUUUUUUUUGUAUUAUUGUAUACUAGCAAAAGGGCCCGUGCGCGGAGAAAAAAAUUAUAAUCUUGAAUGACCAUGAUCACAUUUUUUUGCAUCACCGAGAUACACUAUCACUUUCAAUUUCGGGAAAUCAUGUACAUUUUUUAAACUUGUGAACAUUUUUCAAAUUCUUGAACACUUUUACAAAUCUGCAAACAUAUUCUAAAAUCAAGAACAUAUUUUGAAUUCAUGAACAUUUUAUAGUAUUUACAAACAUUUUUAGAAAUUACGAAUUCUUUUUAACAACUUUCUUGAAUAGGCAAACAAUUCUAAAAUGGACGAACAUUGUUUUAUAAAUCGGUGGAACAAUUUUUGAAAUUCACGAACAUUUUUUUGAUUUUACAAACAUUUUUUGAAAUGCAUGAUCAUUUUUGUAUAAACUAUUUUGUAUGUCACGAACAGAUUUUCAAAUAUUUGGUUAUUUCCCCAUUCAUGAACAUUUUUUGAAUGGUGAUAUUUUCUUCAAUUUCAUUAACAUUUUUUAUACACCAAUUUUUAAAAAGUCAUGGACGUAUUUUGAUUUCAUGAACAUUUGUUUUCAAAAUUUCGAACAUUUUUCGAGUCAGAUUCUUUAAUAAAAUUGCAAAUAUUUUUUGAAUACAUAAACAUUUUAUGAUUUAUUAAAACUUUAUUUGAAAAUUAUUUUUAAAUUUCAAAUAUUUUGUGUAUUCCGAAUUUAGUUAAAGCAGAAAAAACGGAAAAGGAUAAAAAAGGAAAUGUUAAAAACAGGCCGCCCGGACAUGGGCGGCCCAAACAGGCGGGCCGCGCCUUAUCCCUACGCGCAGAGCCCAGUAUGGGAGGUCGCUACUACAUGGCCCAGUCCAGACGUGGAUUCCCUGUGUGAAACAUUUAUAUCACUUAUACAUGACAUUUGUGGGUAAUUUGUACGACGUGCCAUAAGAAGAAAUAGCCCCUUUAUUAUUACUAGCAAAAGUGUCCGUGUGUUGUAAUGGGAGAAAUAAAAUCAAAAUCUCCAAUGACCAUGACCAUAUUUUGUUGCAUCACCCAGACACCCUAUCACUCUCAAUUUCAUGAAAUCAUGAAUAAUUUUUGAAAUCACGAACAUGUUUUAAAAUUAUUACUCAUAUUUGAAAUUGUGAACAUUUUUCAAAUUCAUGAACACUUAUACAAAUUUUCGAACAUUUUCUAAAAUCCAGAACAUUUUUGGAAUUGAUGAACAUUUUAUACUAUUUGCAAACACUUUUUAAAGAUUCUGAACAUCUUUAUAAACAAUUUUCUUUAAUCGAGGAACAUUUGUAUGGAAAUUGACGGAACAAUUGUCGAAAUUCACAAACAUUUUUUGAUUGAACUAACAUUUUUUGAAAUACAUGAUCAUUUUUUGAAUCAGUAGACAUUUUCUGAAUGACUAAACUAUGUUGUAAGUCACGAAAUAGUUUUUGAAUUUUAGGAUAUUUCUCCAUUCAUGAACACUUUUUGAAUUGGCUAUUUUUUUCAAUUUCAUUAACAAUUUUUGAUACAAAAACUUUUUAAAAAUCAUGAAUUUUAUUUGAUUUCCCAAAAAAUUGUGUUUAAAGUUUUGAACAUUUAUUGUGUAAGCAAUUGUUUUUUACAAAACAGCGACCAUAUUUUGAAUCCACAAACAUUUUAUGAUUUAUGAAAAUUUUAUGUCAAAAUACUCAUUUUUUAAAUUUUCUAAACUUUUUUGAAAUCCUAAACUAUUUAUAGUAAAAAGAACGAAAACAGGAAAGAAAAAUGAAAAUAGAAAACGAAAUCAAAGAAACAGGCCAGCCUGAAAUGGGCCGGCCCAAACAUGCGUGUAGCGUCUUCUCCCAGCGUGCCGAGAACAUUAUAGGAGGUCCCUACUGUAGAGCCGGCCCAGAUGGGGGAAUUCCCUUGUGUGAAUUUUUUGUAUCACUUAUAUGUGGCAUUGAACUCAUGAAGCAUGCGCUAUCCCUUCCAGCUCGCCGCCAUGUCUGGCUCGGACAACCAGAUGGACUUUCUUUCGUCCCUGUAAACGUUUUGAUGAUAUAAUAAAAAGCUUCGGAAUUUGUCUAAAAAAACUUAUAAGUGGCAUUGGUGGGUAAUAUUUUGCAACUUUAGAGGUAAUUCCAUGACGUACCACCAGAAGCACAAUAGCCCCUUUACUAUUAUUAGGUACUCUUUUUUCCUUGUGGAGCUUUGGAAAUGAGAGAAUUUGAAUAUAGUAACUCUCGGAAACUCUUAUUGGACGAGAGAGAUUUAAUAUGAUAUUGGCAUGGGUUCUACCAACUAAACGAAGAAGUAUUUGACUGAAUAAACAGACAAUUUCCUUUAAUCGACGAACAUUUUUAUGAAAAUUGGUGGAAUAACUUUUGAAAUUCAUAAAUAUUUUUUGAGUUAACGAACAUUUUUUGAAAUACAUGACCAUUUUUUUGAAUCUGUGAACGUUGUAUGAAUGAAUAAACUAGUUUGUAAGUCAUGAGCAGUUUUUCAAUUUUUAGGAUAUUUUUCCCUUCAUGAACAUUUUUUCAAUUGGUGAAAUUUUGUUCAAUUUCAUUAACAAUUUUUAGUGCAUAAAACUUUUUAAAAUCAUGAACAUUAUUAUUUACCAAAGAAGCAAAUUGUUUUUUGCAAAAUCAUGGACAUUUUUUGAACCCACAAACAUUUUAUUAUUUAUGAAACAUUUUUUUAAUACACAAUUUUUUUAAUUUUCGAAUUUUUGUGAAAUACUAAAUUAUUUAAAGUAGAAAAAUCAAAAACAGAAAAGAGAAAGGAAUAAUAGAAAAGGAAGUUAAAUAAUAGGCCGACCGAACAUGGGCUGGCCCAAACGGGCGCACUGCAUCUUCUNNNNNNNNNNNNNNNNNNNNNNNNNNNNNNNNNNNNNNNNNNNNNNNNNNNNNNNNNNNNNNNNNNNNNNNNNNNNNNNNNNNNNNNNNNNNNNNNNNNNNNNNNNNNNNNNNNNNNNNNNNNNNNNNNNNNNNNNNNNNNNNNNNNNNNNNNNNNNNNNNNNNNNNNNNNNNNNNNNNNNNNNNNNNNNNNNNNNNNNNNNNNNNNNNNNNNNNNNNNNNNNNNNNNNNNNNNNNNNNNNNNNNNNNNNNNNNNNNNNNNNGUAUUAUUAUUGUUUCAAAUUUAUUCAUAUAUUAUUUUCAAUUGUACAACCAUAAUUUUUCUUAUCUCUCUCGUUCCACUACAUGCUCCUAGUCAAAGAUUUUUUUUAAUAAUGGGUGUUUUUAUUAACUCAAAAUAUAGCAUCAAGCGGAUACAAAACAUAAUGAGCCACACCCGGUCUAUGCAUAACUAAGAUGCACACAGCCAAAAGCAGAAGUCUGACAAAAAUAAGAUAAGAAAAUCGACAUAUCGACAACAGUGAGUCAUGUAGUACCGACACUAUGCCUCUGUCGAAGGAGGUGGUGGAGCGAUCUGGAGAUUAUGCUGCCAUCCAUGUUGAGUAAAUAUCUCCCUGGCCACUUGCUCCAACCGCAUAGACGCCGCCAUGAACAACGGUUGGUACUCCAUUCGGUGUAGCAUACACCAUACUAGAGGCUGGGGCGCCACCUGAGGCGGGCCUAUGCGCACUUAUUUUGUCUGGGCACUUCGGUUGUCAUGUUUGGUCAUCAGUAUCACUUAUGUACAUCAAUAUGGGCGUAUGCUGUAUUGUUUGAGUUCAUUAGGAUCUAUUAGUAUCACAUCAAUCAAAGUACAUAUACUAUGUUAUUUGAGUUCAGAACCAUCAUAGGCAAUGAUACGUCUAAUAAGGAUAUAUAACAUUUAAUUCAAAAGGAAAGACAAAGUAGAAUUAAGUGCUUUAGUUUGGCCGAAGAAAGGAACCUCAUGAUGCCAUGACUAAGGAACCAAAUAUAAAAGAGCACCUUUCAGAGUACUCCAGAGGUAUGACAUCAUCCAUUUCCACAUCAGAAUCAUCGGAAUUCUCCUGAUCUUCAUUUCGAUGUACCCAACACAAAUGCUACAUGGAUUUUAGUCAGCUGCACUCCCCACUACUUCUACACUUCCCCUUUUUCACACCGACGAGCAGAGACUGAUGCAAGUUGAUCGAACACAGAACAACAUAUAAUUUCCUAGAGAUGCGCUGGGCCUGAAAGGCAACAUACCUAGCAUGCGCAUAAAAUGUGAGAGUAACAAUAAAAGAACAUACCAUUUACCGAUAUGAUUAUUAUUGCUUGCCAAAAUGAUACGUUUUGAUUACUAUUGCAUGCCAAUAUUCUUAAUCACUCCAAGCAAAUUUAACCUAAACUAAAUAUCUAAGAGUAAGCUCUGGUUUAUGUAUUUUACAGAAGUUUGGUUCAGCGAAACUUCGGAAGCAAAUGUGUGAAGGUUUUAUCAUUCUAAUUAAAGGCCUUUUGAUUGUGCAAAACUUACACUACCACAUGAGUUACUGACCAACAUGAGAUGCAAAGUAACAACAGCAUGAUAAUUUUUUUUGAAGGCAGUCAUAUUCUAAAGCAUUAAAAGAUGAAUUCCAAUGCUUUGAUUCUGUAAAGAAUUAGAUCGAUCACUCAACAGUUCUAUUGGCGCCACUAAAAUUCUGAGUGCAAUGUUGUGUAUGUAGCUAAAAUUCACCCAUCAAAGACAACCUUAAUAAUAAGCAAUGGUCAAAACAAGCAAUUGUUGAAGUUAAAUGUAAUUAGAUAGGAAGUCACAUUUGAUUCAUGACCAUCGAGCUGAAAAUGAGACCGAUAAAAGCUGAUUCACCAUGAAGAGAAACAACUAAUGUGAACCUCGGGUUGUAAAACAAAUAGGAUGAGUCGUGUGCUGAUUGCAAAAAAUUGUACUUCUAACCAAAUGACCAUGCUUCAUGAAUAGAUGACAAUAUAGUAACACGAAAGUGAAGUACGGUGAAAUUUUGUAAGCUACUAAGGGCAUAGGGCAAAGCUCACACUCCAGCUUGCACUCCUUGAAGAAAUCAACCAAAAGCACCCAGAAAGAUAAAUGGCAUUGUGGCAUCCGAUGAAUGUUGAUAACUGUACCAUCACACUAAUUUAAUCUACAAAAUUCAUGUCAACAUCACUAAUCAUGAUGUAUCAGGUUAGGAUAAAAUCAUUGUUUUUUCCCAAAAUAAAAUAAAACAAGCCCAGUUAGAAAGAAAUCAUAAGCCUAUCAGACAAUCAGGCAAUUCUGUUAGCAUGUCAACAAUCAGACAGAACAAAACCUAUAGUCCUCAUUUUUUUCUUUCUAAAAAAAGUGUAAUGCUAGAAAAGAGAGUUAAAUAAAAUGCUACGUGAAUCAGCAUACAGAAAAUUCAUAGAAGCAAUGAAGAAAAUAUGAACAAAAUUUAUGUCGAAACACCUAUACUUUCCCCACGAGCAAAUAUGUGUAAUGUUAGAAAAGGGAGUUAAAUAAAAUGUUAGGCAAAUCCGCAUCCAGAAAAUUCAUAGAAGCAAUGAAGCAAAGAUGAGCGACAAAUUUAAUCUACACACACACACACACACACACAUUCAGGCAAACAAAUUACUUCGAUUGAAUCCAUUCCUUUGCAUAUAUGGCAUAAAUGCAUCUAAGGAAAAAAAAACUUGAUGGUGUUAGUUUACCUUGCCAAGAUCAUGAAAUCCAUCUAAAUGAAUAAGAAGCUCCAACAGUGUCCGCUGGAUCUCAUGGUCGUCAUUGGUUCCCUCACUAAAUCUUCUCGCAUCAAUUGCAUCGAUUUCAUCCAUGAAGAUAAUGCAUGGCUAGAAAUAACAACUUGAUGAAAAUGAAACAAAAUUUGCAAGCACCGUAAAUAAACUAAAUGGUGAUAUAAGCUAAAAUGAUCUCAGAAGUGCACUUUUACAUAUAUAGAGAUCAGUUUGAUUUCUUCUUCUCAGGAAAAACUGAUACUGAAAUCUAAAGCUUAAAGUUUUUCUAGUGUUGAACCAGAAUACAAUUAGAUGACAUGACAUCUGAGUCAAGGGAACUAUCAAAGUCACAGCUUGAAUCUCAACACCAGUAGAUGCAUAACCAUCUGCCAACAUACGUUUCUAACAGAUAAUAAGGGAAUUAGGUUUAAGACCAAUUGGCUUUGCAAAAAAGAAAGGCGGAGCAAAACUUACUUGGCGAUCGCGUGCAUAGCCGACCAUUUCUCUGAUUAAAAGCGCACUUUCCCCGAUAUAUUUGUCAAUUAUAGCACUUGACACAAUCUGGUUUUUAGACAACACGUCAGUGUAAUGUAAUACUCACAGAAUGAAAAUACCAACCACCAUCAAUCAAGUGAAAACCACAGCUCCAAAAAGUUAGCAUGAAUGUUACUGGAUAUAGCCCUUGAUAGUAAUGGCUUCCCUGUAGAGUAGAACGCACUUGAAAAAGUUAAAGAAACAUACACUGGCUCCCAUAUAUUGAUCUUGUAUUUGACAAGUGGCCGGGCAUCAACAUUGUGCCUGCUGGUGUACCAAUUCAGCUUGUAGCUGCCAGCUAAUCUCCUUCUGAACAGUUAUGCUGUCCUCACUCACGUGCUACGCCUAUUCAAACUUGCUUAAUUUAAUUUGUUACUACUAUGUUAAUGCUGACAUAUUAACUGGCAGACCUCAUGUACUAACAGUAAAUCCCAGCAUACUUUCUUAAUUUGCUACUAUCCGGAUUUAUUCUUUUAGCGAGAGGUCAGGUAUCACUUGGAACAACUGAGUUUCUUUUUAAUCUUUGUGGACACUACACUUGAACGCCACAACCACCUGGAUAUGUCAGGCAGGACGGGCAGCAGCGCAUCAUCAGUAAGUUUAUUUAAGAGAGUAAAAUUCAGUCGCAAUCAGUCAAUCUCAAUCAGGUUCAGAUUUGGACGCGACCUUGAAUAACGAAGCCCCAACUGGGAAGAACAAGGUUGCAAGAACAAGCAGAUUGACGAUGGGUUCAUGGAAGCUUACCAGGCAGGCAGUCCGCCCGGCGGCUUGAGCAAGCUGCUGCUGGUACCCUACGCGCAGUCGCAGUCCGCACCGGCCAGGGCACACGAGCACUGACGCGCGUGCCGCCUGCCGCUUCACCAUGCCCACGUUGUAGUCGCCACCGAUUCACGGCAGGGCAGAGGGGCCUCGACCUCGUCCUCCUCCACAUCAUCAUCGGCGAUGCCCUUCCCCUCCUGACCCCAACACCAUCAUGCCCCCGCCGACUCAUCUCCCUACAGCGACGGCGACUCCGGAGGCUCCGAGACCUGGGACACCGACAUGAGUGGCUCGUCGGCAUCGGAUCUCCUCCACCCNNNNNNNNNNNNNNNNNNNNNNNNNNNNNNNNNNNNNNNNNNNNNNNNNNNNNNNNNNNNNNNNNNNNNNNNNNNNNNNNNNNNNNNNNNNNNNNNNNNNNNNNNNNNNNNNNNNNNNNNNNNNNNNNNNNNNNNNNNNNNNNNNNNNNNNNNNNNNNNNNNNNNNNNNNNNNNNNNNNNNNNNNNNNNNNNNNNNNNNNNNNNNNNNNNNNNNNNNNNNNNNNNNNNNNNNNNNNNNNNNNNNNNNNNNNNNNNNNNNNNNNNNNNNNNNNNNNNNNNNNNNNNNNNNNNNNNNNNNNNNNNNNNNNNNNNNNNNNNNNNNNNNNNNNNNNNNNNNNNNNNNNNNNNNNNNNNNNNNNNNNNNNNNNNNNNNNNNNNNNNNNNNNNNNNNNNNNNNNNNNNNNNNNNNNNNNNNNNNNNNNNNNNNNNNNNNNNNNNNNNNNNNNNNNNNNNNNNNNNNNNNNNNNNNNNNNNNNNNNNNNNNNNNNNNNNNNNNNNNNNNNNNNNNNNNNNNNNNNNNNNNNNNNNNNNNNNNNNNNNGGAGGCUCGAGCUUGGGAAGGGGGGAGGGGAACGAAGGGGUGGGGCUCCAGGCAAUCCUCACCUCCAAAGACAACUUGACCGGCAACACGGGCAGGCUAGACCUCUUCUAUGGCGAGGCCAACUUCGGCGAGGGGACGAGGUGGUGCGGGACCUUGGAGAUAUCUCCCCCGCGCGUGGAGCUUGUCCGGCGACGCCGCUGAAGAUGCCACUGCCACGACCAGCUCGAUCCUCCUUCGCUGGACUCCGAUCUGGACGAGGACUGAGCUAGGAGGAGGGAAGCGGGAGAGGAGAAGGCGCAGGAGAAGCGGCUGAGCCGGCGGCGCAGGGACCAGGGAGAGAAGAAGGCGAACGAAGAGGGGAUUGACAGAGUGGCGAAGAAGCAUGCGGGCUAGGUUUCCUUUUCUUUUUCUCCCAGCACUGCACAGUUGCUUGUCUCGUAGCUUGCCGGCAUGGCUAUGGCGAGGGCUCGCCCUUGAUGCGUAGGUUAAUGUAUUCGACUAGCGGGGCGCCUCUUGAGAGGAAGCUGAGCGGUGCUAGGUGGGACGCGCCCCUUUCCCUUUCCUGCAUAUACUAUGUAAUGUUAUUGCAUCAGAUUUAAAGUAACAUGCUCAGCUAAGUGCAAAGUGUGAUGAAUAAGUGAAACAGAAGGAAGCUGGUACAUUGGUGUAUGCCAAAAACUGAAUAUUAUAACAUAAACACAUGAAGUCAUCGACGUCUAUGGUAUGAAAUGCACAUGCACAAAAUUAGAGUGCACAUGAAGACAGAGCACUAUAGUGUCCUGAGUUGCAAGUCUCUAAGCACUGAAAUGAUCUGCAAUCAUAUGUACAAAGUAACCGAAUAAGAACAAGAAAUUUAGAGUAAAUGAGCUGUAAAAUUGUAAGUAAUGAGCAUUGGAAUUAAGGCAGAGUCAGUGACAGUUGGGUGCACUUGACAGGAAAAUCGGCGAGGCAUAAUAUGAAAUUAGAGUAAAUGAGUGCGUGCACUUCUCUUGGUGGCACCUAAAUGAAAAAAGAAACUAUUCACCUCUCGAUAUAUUCCCUAAGACCAUAUAAAAUCAGGAAGGUACUGAAGAGAGAUGCUCAAAUUCGAAGUUGCCAUGUCUAGGAAUGCUUGAAGCUUCAAAGAUUUCCUAUAAUACAGCAUGCCUCUAACUAUUCACAAUAAGAAAAACAUGUAAAUGCGGAAUCAACCAAAUGAUGGUAAAUUGUAGUUGAUUUUGGCCAAGCAAACGUCAGAUGAAAGAAACAUACAUGAGUGAACAUCACGAUUGGAUGUUUUAUUCAAAUUUAACAGGUUAAACUCACCAAAUACAUCUGGAUAUUUAGUGUUAAACUUCAACAGAUGGUCAGUUGUAGCUAGAUUCACACCACUGAAGCAAAAUUCCAUCUGCCACGGUUACAUCACACCAUCUUUUCAUCGUUACUAUUUAAAUUCCAAAAGCCUGCAACUCAUUUUUUUUGUUACGAUGUAUGCAUGAUUUUUAACUCAAGAGGAAGAGGGGAAACUAAAUCCAAGAAAAGAACACCAAGGAAGCAUCCAAAAUAGAGAAAGGAAAAAUCCAAAAUAGAGGCAGAAUCGAAGGGAAGAAACCCCAUAAAAAAUAGGAGAUCAAACGGUGAAAAAAAUCUAAGAGUCAAACAAUUCCAGGUAAGACCAAAUCGACGGCAAAAUAGCACAAGAGGGACUCACAUUAACAGGUAUACCAAUUCAGAAAGAAGUGUAAAGCAAACAGUGCAAUGGACCACUAGUAUAAAUUGGAUGUACACAAACAUGGGACUUAAACAGGAACUGCGAGAUGCAGGGUUCACGUGCAAACCCAAAAAACGGAAAACUGAAACCCACAACAAGAUUUUAUCUUCAUAUAUAUAUAUAUAUAUAUAUAUAUAUAUAUAUAUAUAUAUAUAUAUAUAUAUAUAUAUAUAUAUAUAUAUAUAUAUAUAUAUNNNNNNNNNNNNNNNNNNNNNNNNNNNNNNNNNNNNNNNNNNNNNNNNNNNNNNNNNNNNNNNNNNNNNNNNNNNNNNNNNNNNNNNNNNNNNNNNNNNNNNNNNNNNNNNNNNNNNNNNNNNNNNNNNNNNNNNNNNNNNNNNNNNNNNNNNNNNNNNNNNNNNNNNNNNNNNNNNNNNNNNNNNNNNNNNNNNNNCCUAUCUAUUAGUUGCUUCUUCCGAAUCCCCACCUAUCAAGCGUUUUCUUUGAAUAAACAAACACAAUAGUAUUCUCUGAAUUAUACUGUACAGUGAUAAUUAACCAAGCGACUGGAAUUAACAAUAUUAUGAGCUAUUGGCUUUUUAGUCAGGUAAAUAUCAUUCUUAAGACUACGGAAAACAGCAGGCGGCGAAGAAAACAUCUAUUGAUGAGAACUAUACACAUACUUAAGAAGGAAGUGACAUCUAUGGUAGCAGAACAUAUAUCAAGCUGUUGCAGCUACAUUAGCAGUUUAGCACAGUCCCUCCAUAAUACACAGGCUAGUGUAAUUUCACAAAUACAAUAAGCUAACAAUAUAUAUUUGGUAGAUGGAAAUGGCUGGAUCAUGACCAAUAUACGAUUACACAUCCGAUGAUGCAAAUAAAGAAACGAGGCCCAACAAUAGUGGAAAAUAAACCACAAUAGAACAUGUAUUUGGCGAAACCUCCAUACUGCAAUAUCAAACAUGAAUUGAAAUUAACAAUCUAGCAAAAAAACAUGACAGAUGCAGUCUUGGUCAUUUUUUCUUUUGUGACAUCCCCUAAAAAAAGUAAAAAGAAUGUUGUUCGUAUUUUACCAGAGAUACACUGAGCUGGGACAAAUCGGUCUGAAAUAAAAUAUGAUGGCUUCGGAGGAUUCGGAAGGCAAGAAAUUUGCUUUCUUCCAACAUAUAUGGUCUGCUGAACUAAACUUUGUUUCAGCGAGCUUUGGCAAAAAUCUGUAACUGCAAACAUCAAACUUGUGUGCCCUUCCUACAUCAAACUUUAAACCUGACGGAUUAAAUAUUUUAGGUUAGGCUGAGAUCAGUGUACUUUAUGAGUGUUAAGUGUACUUUCUAAAUAGCAGAGAAACCAUAACAUCUAAGCACAACCCAGCAACUUGUACAAGCUAACAUCAAAUCUGAAAGAGGAAAUGUCGAGAACAGGUGAAGGUACCAUGAUCCAUGACUGAGCAAAGUUAUCUAUAAUCCUCGGUGAAUAUCAUAAAUUAGGAUCAACAAAGCUGAAGAACAAACGGGAAAGGAACCUAGAAAGAUCUUCUGCCGGUAGAAUAUAACUGAUACACUAUCCUCAUUCUCGAGAUCAAGGUCGUUUCUUGAAUUGCAGUUUCCUCACUGUAGUAUGGGGUCAUUACACUGCGAAGAACAAAGUGUCAUAUGAAUCAUUUAGAGCCCAAUCUUUUUCACUGAAACUCUUAUGAUCACAUAACGAAUUUAAACAUAAGGUUUAUUAGAUAUUUGUUGUUGUGAACUGAUAAUAUAUUUCUGGUGUUGACAAUGUUUUGAUUAUGGAUGCACUUCAAGAUGGGUGGCACAGAUUCUGUUGUACAGGCCUCCACCUGGAAUUUCAUCACUUGUUAUUUUUGUUUAGAAUGUCUAGGUGCAUUUUUCCUUUAAGGUGGAAACAGAUGUACUUGUAUAAGCAACAAGAAUACAAAGCGCCACUGCCAUACAUUGUGGAAGUUCAAUGCUUCUGUUUACAAAAUCUGCUUCCCAAAACAGAAGGAUUUAUAAUUUUUUAUUACAAUCAAGCGGACAUGAGCUGAUGAGUACAGAUGUAAACAUGUACUGAGAGCAGCACCCUUUCAAAAGUGGAUCAUUUACAAGUUGGAUAGUUUGAUGGUCUGAAAUUAGUGGUCGUGUUUCAGAAUUGUUAUCGAAUAGUAGAGGAUAUAUAUUAACUUCUGAAAUUAGUGGCUGUUUGUCAGAACUGUUAUCGAAUAACAGAGCACAUAUAUUAACUUCAAUAAGUGGAGUAAUAUCUUUGGAUUCGCUGUGAGGAAAGAUUACCAAAACAAAACAGAAGUGAGUGCGACGACCCAGAUGAGGGCGCUCUUGAGCCUCUUCCCGACCGACCUAGAUGCAGGAGCAGAACACCGCGGAUCUAAUCAGCCAACGAAUAAAGCCGAGGCAGGUAGAGGAAGUAAGGGAGGAAGAAGACUGACUUGUCCUGGUCGCCCUCGUAGUAGAAUAUGGUGAACGGGAUGACGAGGAAGACGAGGACAGCGUCGAGGAUGUAGACGACGAGCCAGAGCGUCUUCAUGGGCAGGAUAAGGGCGCAGGCCCCGUUGUAGGCGGCGUGCUUGCAGGUCUGGCGGUUGGCGACGUCAGCGGGGAGCAUGAGGAUGGAGAGGACGGCGACGGUGAUGCCGAGCACGACGACGAGCUUGGGGAAGUAGGCCUGGUUGGCAUCAUCCGGGUGCUGGUAGUUGACGAGCAUGUAGACGCUGACGAGGAGCACCAGGAUGCUGACCACCGCCGCCACGAUCACUAGCGCCACGUUAAAAACCCCAUCUCCUCGGGGCUCCGGUCCCGGUUCCGGCCCGCCGCCUCGCCCCCGUUGGUCGGUCAGAUCUCUCUGUCCCUAGAGGCGGGGGGAUACAGGCUAGGGUUUGGGCGUGGGCGGGGAAUAGGCUGCUAUGGUGUCGGCAGCGGGGCGGCCACCGGCGGGGAGGGCGGGAUCCGCGCGGGGUGGCGGGAUUUGGGCAGGCGGUGGGCUCGGGGGAGGGCGGUGGCAGCGAAGCAGCAGGGAGGGGCUGGAGGAGAUGAAACGAAAGAGGUCGCGUGACACAGCGACAGCGUCGUCCAAUCCCCUCGCUGCCGAUUUAAAAAAAGGUAAUGAUAACUCCCGAACGUUCAGGAGUUAAGCAUGGCAACCCGAACGGGUUUAGAUGGCAAGUUUAGUUUGCGUGAGAUUAGAGAAACAUGGCAAUUUUCUGACAAAAGAAAUGAAAAAGGACGAAGUUGCCAUCCCCUAUCAACUAAAGUUGCCAUCCCUAUGAACUAAAGUUGCCAUGUAAAAACGUUCGGGAUGAAAUGCUCAAAAUCCGAACGUUCGGAAGUUAUUGGAUUCAAAAAAAAUCCCCUUGCUGCCAAUCGCUGGCCCGUUUCUUUUUUCGCCCAAUCGCUAGGUGAUGACGUGGCUAUCACGGGAAGGCGCCCUUGAUGCGUAGUCGAAUGGUUUUAAUUAAUAGGAAGCGAGUGCUUACUCUAGUUACUGAAUUAUGUACACCAAAUAAAGCCAUUUACACGUAGUUAAUGACAAAAAAAGUUGAUGUUUGCUACGCAAACGUGUAGUACAAAUUAAGAAGUGCAAGAUAAAAAAAAAUGCUGGUCCUUGAUUCGUUGUUGAUCGUCAGCAUGCCAUCAUCAAUUUGUAGUUAAUUAUCAUACAAAUUGGCUCUUUCAUAGAGUUGGAGGCUAGCUCCUUUGAUCAGCACGCGCUUAAACAUAAACAGCACGUAUAUGUUUUGUCUCCGGAGUUCAAUUCUUCAUCGGCCAGCAAAAAUGGCCCGACCGGGUAGAGGAAAAGGCAUGUUUGUUAGUACGCCUGGAGGAAAUGCCUUUGAUUAGGGCAUCUUCAACAGCGACCAGUAAAUUUCCUCCCGCGUUCGUCCACGGAUAGGGGAUCAGUCCGCGGAUACGGAUACAGGAAUCAUCUAUCUAACGCUGUCCGCGUAUAUUUCAAACACAUUUUUUUUAAAAAAAUAGGAUGAAAUUCAUGCAAACACAAUGGAUUUCAUACAAACCGGACAAAAAUGUUUACAUUUUGGACAUAUUUUUUUUACUAAAAACUCUACAGCCGGCGCCGGCGAAUAUCCACUCCGGCGACAUGGAACCCUUGACUAGUCUACUGCCGGCCGCAGCGGAUCUCCAAUGUCGUCCCCAUGUCCGGCAACUAUGAGCCCUAGAGGUAUAUGCUUCAGCGCAAAGAGCGGCUCGCCUCCCUACCGCUCAUCGGAGUGGAACAACCAGCUGAUGCUUCUGCCGAUGGAAAGGGUCCCUACGCUACACGGAUUAGAGUUGGUUUUGGGCUGGGAACGGCGGUGGCCUGCCAGAGGGCAAGACACCGACUGUGUAUGCUGGUGUCACCUGGUGUGGCAUUCGUGGGACCCAAGCGGCAGCGCCUCCUCGAUGAUGGCGGCGAGCGCGGACGUGUUGGACACCACCUCGUCGAUGUCCGUGCAGCCCGCUUCUUUCUCUGUAGGAAGGACGCGGUUACGCUCGCGUUGACAUCGGAUGACUCGGUCACAUGCACGGGAGGGGCGGUACGACAUGGCACCGCCAAUGGCAGCCAUGAUGCCCGCGCCAGCGUGCUCUCUCCCAGUGCCGACCUAGAGCAACUUGCCACUCCUCUGCUCGUGAACGGUGGGCUUGACGGGCCACCUAGCCAUUUUUUAUGCCAGACAACUCUUCUUCCUGCUCGUCAGAUGUCAUGGAUAAAACUGUUUAAGGAGGAAAAUGAUGAGUAGACGUGUGAUGCGGUUCUUGCCCAACAUCUGACAUUGUUUAAAUAGCGAGGGGACACGAGAGGAGCCAACUGGCGUUCUGUUUAAUGCCAACCGGCUCGCGAACGAACAUGUGGCUGGAGUAAUUAUCCUGGCACACACGCGGGUUUAAUGGUGGAAGGUGGGCAGUCUGCAGGAAUGAGGCGAGGAUGUGUGCUUAGCCGGCGUGCAGCAGGCGGCGCCCUCGGCCGGCGUGCUGCAUCCAUUGCGGAGGCAGUGAGAGGUCGCGUCCGCUCUGCAGCGCAUGAAUGCGGGCAGCUGGCGCAGAGCGGGAACGCGUGCGGGCGAGGGAGGAGGGGGUUUGGGCGGGUGGUCAGAAGAGGUCGUGGGUGUUGUCCGAACGCCUGCAAAGCCCCCCUCCAUGUUUGUCUCCAGUUUGCGGGAGAAAGUAUGUCCGAACCGUCUCCAAUGGACCAAUACAGGCCCGCAUUGGAUGGCACAACACGUCCGGACCAUGUGGUCCGGAUGGUUGUGGACAGUUUAAUUGAGGGUCGGCGUUGGAGAUACCUUAGAGUUUAUGAAUCCAUUGUGUUUUUCUAAUCAUAAAAAAGCACUUACAAUAAGUUAUAAGGAAAGACACGUUUAUAUGUUAGGUUCAGACUCCAGCUUUCGUUUUACAUAUGCUUUAUUCAUCCGACUGAUUCCAAUAGAGUGAGCCUAGCGUUGUUUUUCUGGAAACUCGCGGGAUAAGGAGACAUGCAUACACAUUCUUUCAAGCAAAUCACAUCCAUCCUUUUUAACUCAUUUUUCUUCUUUUAAUAAUAUAAUAGAUCAUUUAUAUUUUUAUCUGAAACAGUUGACGUGUAAUUUAUAUUGUAAUCUGAGGAUAAUGUUUGGAUUUUACUUUCAAAUAUAUUUGAAAUGGCCAUGAUGGAAUCACAUCCAUUUAUUUUAUUAUUAUUUGAAUUUGAUCCAAAAGAUAAAUAAUGAGUAGAGGUCAUGUCAACUUUUCUGAGAACUUUGCUAAUCAAAAUAUAAUUGUAUUUAAAAACAUCUAUUUUUUAGCACGCAUGAAAAAGAUAACACGUAUCUUUUCACACAUAAUGAACGGUUGUCAUAAGAACUCAUGCCAUGCCACAACCUCCCUCCGACCCUGCCAACAUUGUUGCAGCUGCACUCGCAAGCCUUAGCGUAGAUGAUAAUUUAUACAAUUUGCGUAAAACAAAAUAAGAUCUACAAAUGAAUAGAAGCUAGAACGUACAUUGGCAUGCACACACAUUGCAAGCCAUACUAAGCUGAUAAGUGUUAAUAACUUGUACAACAUAUACAACACUUAAGACAAGUAAAAGCAAUUUGAUGAGUCAUGGUCUAUCAAAGCCACAUUACUAGUCUAAUCCAUCUUAACAGGUCACACAUGAUUAAAAUCUUGUUUGUGUGCAAGUCAAGCUUAUCUAGUUUACAUGUAACAACUUGUAGAACAUUACAAAAUUUAUGUUUGCUAAUAACUUCUAGAACACUACAACACUUGACAUGUAAAAGGAAUUUGAUGAGUUAGCGUACUAAAGCAAGUUAUAUUACUAGUCUUAUCUACCUUAACAGGCCACACAAGAUUACAAACCAAGUUCUGUGCCAGCCAUGCUUAUCUAGAUUAUGCGUAACAAUUUGCAGAAAAUUACAAACUUAGUUUCAGAAAAAUAGGCAAUCUAGAUUAGUGUUUGAGCUGUAAAGUGAGUAAAAUGAGUCAUGCGUGUUAUCACACCUUUUUGGUUGUGGAAUGAUAGUGCAACAACAAGGAACUUUAAUGACCAGUUCAAGAAUACACUUGUAAGUAGUGCCACCGAACACAACAUACCAAAUUAUGAUUUUGAGAAGCAUCCAAGCACUUCCACACAAGCAAAUGCCAAUUGUGAAAGAGAUCAUGCCAUGGCAGCUAUAAAUAGGCCCGUAGCAUGACGAUCAUCCUUCCUCAUCCAUCAUUCUCAUAAGUAGAGCGCAUCAUUUAAGCCAAGCAAGCAGUGCUCAAUACAAAUCCACCAUGAAGACCUUUCUCAUCCUUGCCCUCCUUGCUAUUGUAGCAACCACCGCCACAAUUGCAGUUAGAGUUCCAGUGCCACAAUUGCAGCCACAAAAUCCAUCUCAGCAACAACCACAAGAGCAAGUUCCAUUGGUACAACAACAACAAUUUCCAGGGCAGCAACAACCAUUUCCACCACAACAGCCAUAUCCGCAGCCGCAACCAUUUCCAUCACAACAACCAUAUCUGCAGCUGCAACCAUUUCCGCAGCCGCAACUACCAUAUCCGCAGCCGCAACUACCAUAUCCGCAGCCGCAACCAUUUCGACCACAACAACCAUAUCCACAACCGCAACCACAGUAUUCGCAACCACAACAACCAAUUUCGCAGCAGCAGCAGCAGCAGCAACAACAACAACAACAAAAACAACAACAACAACAACAACAACAGAUCCUUCAACAAAUUUUGCAACAACAACUGAUUCCAUGCAGGGAUGUUGUAUUGCAACAACACAGCAUAGCGUAUGGAAGCUCACAAGUUUUGCAACAAAGUACUUACCAGCUGGUGCAACAAUUGUGUUGUCAGCAGCUGUGGCAGAUCCCCGAGCAGUCGCGGUGCCAAGCCAUCCACAAUGUUGUUCAUGCUAUUAUUCUGCAUCAACAGCAACAACAACAACAACAACAACAACAACCGUUGAGCCAGGUCUCCUUCCAACAGCCUCAACAACAAUAACCAUCAGGCCAGGGCUCCUUCCAGCCAUCUCAGCAAAACCCACAGGCCCAGGGCUCUGUCCAGCCUCAACAACUGCCCCAGUUUGAGGAAAUAAGGAACCUAGCGCUAGAGACGCUACCUGCAAUGUGCAAUGUCUAUAUCCCUCCAUAUUGCACCAUUGCUCCAGUUGGCAUCUUCGGUACUAACUGAGAAGAGAAGAACUCUAGUAGUAGAUAUAUGAUACACCGUUUUCUUAGUCCAUGGUUUGGUCGUUGUAGCGGUGAAAAAAUAAAGUGACAUGCACUAUCAUGUAAGAACCCGAACUAUACUAGUUCAAACAUGGGAAUAAAAGACAAACACAUGUCUUGUCUACAUAUGAUUGUUUGUUUGAGUUCCACUCAUGUGCCCACUCACAAGUUCACCCCUAAUUAUAUAUAUUAUGCAUUAAGUAGAUAUUUAUGUUGCAUUAAUCUAAAGAUAACAAAAUGAGUCUGAAAUUUGAAUUAAAUUGAAG
RNAcentral lists this long non-coding RNA (43422 nucleotides) under Triticum aestivum (bread wheat). RNAcentral describes it as "long non-coding RNA (TAES_LNC018848)". Lineage: Eukaryota; Viridiplantae; Streptophyta; Magnoliopsida; Poales; Poaceae. The record is from RNAcentral.